This 361-nucleotide transfer RNA is filed under the name uncultured Microcystis sp. Its description in RNAcentral is "partial 16S-23S ribosomal RNA intergenic spacer". The stretch from base 136 to 209 matches the Rfam family "tRNA". Lineage: Bacteria; Bacillati; Cyanobacteriota; Cyanophyceae; Chroococcales; Microcystaceae. The record is from RNAcentral.
AAAGGGGGACCUAAUUCAGGUAGGAGACGAAAAAAAAGUAGUCGCUACCAAGAAUCAAUCCCAAAAGGUCGGAGCGAGGCGAAAUUGGCUUUCAAACUAGGUUCUGGGUUCAAACAAGACCUGAAUCAGGAACAAGGGCUAUUAGCUCAGGUGGUUAGAGCGCACCCCUGAUAAGGGUGAGGUCCCUGGUUCGAGUCCAGGAUGGCCCACCUGCACAGGUGGCAAAAACAAGAGAAGCGAGGAAUCAGCACCUUAUCUUACUUAUAUAGUAAGAGAGAAUGCUGGCUCUGAGUAAAGAGUCCAGAGGAACCUUGAAAACUGCAUAGAGCUAGGUGAAAAAGCCAAAAAAGAAGACCGCAAG